AUCCACUCGCCCAAUAAAAGGGCAAGCGCAGUUUGAGCCUCGACCACAGGAAUGACAUAUCAAUUUGUAGAUCUCACCCGGCCCAUUAAUGUUGCGAAUCGAAUGCACCAUAUACUUGGUCUUUUCAAUAUUUAUUGUUAAUUUGUUAUUUUGAAGCCAUUCAAUUACAACAUCAAAACCAUCCUGCGCAGCUGCGAAAACCUCAAACCAUGUAUCACCGACGAAUACUAAUGCAGUAUCAUCAGCAUACGAUAUCAAUUUACCUUGUGAAAAAAGCAAGGAAGAGAGGUUAUUGAUAUAAAUCAAAAACAGUGUAGGACCUAGAAUACUACCCUGUGGAACGCCAUACUCGACCUGAAGACAAUUACUAACAUAAUUAUCGACACGUACAGAUUGUGUACGUUCCGAAAGGUAGCUUUUAAACAACUCUAACUAUUUAUUUAAAUCAAUGUAAUGUAUUAUAACAUGGACGGCAGAGUACUAUUUUACACUUGGGGCACCACGUUAUCACUUUAGAAGCCUUUGUACCAGCAAGUUUUGAAGAUUGUCCCUCUGAAAUGAGCUUAUUGUAGCAGCCUUUGCACCGUUUUUUAUUCGUUUUACGACCUGGUUCCUUGGUCAUUUUCUCGAACGUGUGUUUGUUUUCAGGUAACGACUGCGGGCGUCCAACAUAUGUUUGGUUUUCGUCUCUUACCUUCUACGGCAAUUUUUUUGUACCAAGUUAUCGAUUUUCUUGUAGGACUAUUAUAGCUACUCAACUGAUCCGACACAUCGAUACCUUUUUUCCCUCUAUUAUACUCUAAAACCAUUUCAGGUUUGAGUACUGGUCUUCGCCCGCUACUCAUUUUCAUUUAUUUUCCAUGGCAUGUAGAAAGAAGUAAAACGUCACGUUUAUCGUGCCAUUUUAGCACAGUAAUAUUGCCUUUCUGCAUAGCUGCAAUCUCCCCUUUCUUCAAUUUACUUCCAGUAACUUGUUGCGGAAGGCCUCUUCGCAUUUUGUUCACUGUACCUAACAAAUCAGUACGACGGGUCUUCAAAAAAUUGGCUAGAGGUACACUGGUGUAAAAAUUAUCAGUUAUUAUCAACCUACCUUUAUCUAGCAGGUUUUCAGCAAGGCGUGCGACUAUACUU
RNAcentral lists this unclassified non-coding RNA (1131 nucleotides) under Melitaea cinxia (Glanville fritillary). RNAcentral describes it as "misc RNA ENSMCXG00005021924.1". Lineage: Eukaryota; Metazoa; Arthropoda; Insecta; Lepidoptera; Nymphalidae. The record is from RNAcentral.